Molecule: ribosomal RNA, 414 nt
Filed under: Curtobacterium sp.
Lineage: Bacteria; Bacillati; Actinomycetota; Actinomycetes; Micrococcales; Microbacteriaceae
Description: bacterial SSU rRNA
Rfam family: Bacterial small subunit ribosomal RNA
Source: RNAcentral
GCUCAGGACGAACGCUGGCGGCGUGCUUAACACAUGCAAGUCGAACGAUGAUCAGGAGCUUGCUCCUGUGAUUAGUGGCGAACGGGUGAGUAACACGUGAGUAACCUGCCCCUGACUCUGGGAUAAGCGUUGGAAACGACGUCUAAUACUGGAUAUGACCGCCGAUCGCAUGGUCUGGUGGUGGAAAGAUUUUUUGGUUGGGGAUGGACUCGCGGCCUAUCAGCUUGUUGGUGAGGUAAUGGCUCACCAAGGCGACGACGGGUAGCCGGCCUGAGAGGGUGACCGGCCACACUGGGACUGAGACACGGCCCAGACUCCUACGGGAGGCAGCAGUGGGGAAUAUUGCACAAUGGGCGAAAGCCUGAUGCAGCAACGCCGCGUGAGGGAUGACGGCCUUCGGGUUGUAAACCUCUU